UACGGAGGGGGCUAGCGUUGUUCGGAAUUACUGGGCGUAAAGCGCACGUAGGCGGCUUUGCAAGUUAGAGGUGAAAGCCCGGGGCUCAACUCCGGAAUUGCCUUUAAAACUGCAUCGCUAGAAUUGUGGAGAGGUAAGUGGAAUUCCGAGUGUAGAGGUGAAAUUCGUAGAUAUUAGGAAGAACACCAGUGGCGAAGGCGGCUCACUGGCCCGGUACUGACGCUGAGGCGCGAAAGCGUGGGGAGCAAACAGG
Molecule: ribosomal RNA, 253 nt
Filed under: uncultured bacterium
Lineage: Bacteria
Description: partial 16S ribosomal RNA
Rfam family: Bacterial small subunit ribosomal RNA
Source: RNAcentral